RNAcentral lists this long non-coding RNA (1839 nucleotides) under Homo sapiens (human). RNAcentral describes it as "HSALNT0342942". Lineage: Eukaryota; Metazoa; Chordata; Mammalia; Primates; Hominidae. The record is from RNAcentral.
AGAGAGACAGCCCCACGCCCGGCAAGACGCAACUCCGGGCCACGGAGGGCGCCGCCCGGACAGCCCGGCCGGGUCAGGGGGCUUCGCCGCCGAGCACCCUCCGGCAGCCGCCCUCGGGCCUCCGCGGCCGGGCGGGAGGGCGCCUCCCCGACCACACUUCGGCCGCUUGGCACCCACAGCCGGGAGGGCGUGAGGAAGGACUCGGUCUAACUCCGGGGAACCCUCGGAGUUCCGGCGCAGACACCCGAGGGGGUGUCCUGGGAACUCCUUCGCCCGCGACACCCGUUCUUCUCCGUCUCCCGACCACCAGCGACGCAGCAGGGCGGCUGCCGGCCCGGCCCGGCCCGCCUUGCGGGCUGUGCGCGGCGCAGCUCUUCCUCCGCGGGGCCGUGAAGGCCACCGGCCGCCCCCGCGCGCCCAGCUGCCCGGCCCCGCCGCCUAAGCCGCCGCGUUGCUGGCGGGUAGCCGCGGGCCUCCGGUGCGCGGGCCCCGGCGCGUCCCCGAGCGCGCGCCUGGCCGCGGCCCCGCGCGAGUUGCACUAACUUUCCGGGGCGGGGGAGGGGUGGGCGCCGCGGGCCCGGCUCCCAGGCCUUACCUGUGCUCAAGUUGUCGUUGAUUUUCAAAGGCACCCGCAGGAUGUAGACCAGGAAUAGCACGAUGAAGAACCACACGGUCCACAGAUACGUCCAAGACCAAACUAUGCAGGACUUGAGCUGCUCCAGAAAGCCCGUGGCCGCUUCAGCCAUGUUUCAGCGCUCCUCUCUGCUGCCGCGGCUCUUGGUGUCUGCCGGGAUGAUUCACCGGCCCGGAGGCGCAGCUCGCGCCGCCGCCGCCGCCGCGGCCCGGGCGCCCCCGGAGCCCGCCCGCCGCCGGGGACGCGGGCUCGGCGGGAAAUCGCGCGGGCCGCGGGCGCGCCGGCUUUUCCUUCUCCAGCCUUAUUGCUAACUCUCUAAAGGUCCCUACAAGUGGCUUUCGUGGAGCGAUCACGUGGCCCCUGCCCCCUCGCGUUCUGGGUCCAUUUAUAUUUAUUAUGCUAAUAUUUAGAAAGAGAAGGCCAAGUGGCGCGCCGAAGGAAACGCCUCAGGCAGUUACAACCCGCAUAAGUUGAGCGUUUACCACACGCCAGGCGCUGCUCCACGAUCCGUACAAUCUCAUUUAACCCCUGCAACAAUUCCCCACUACGAUCCUCUUUCUAUAGGUAGGGAAACUGAGGCUCACAGCAGCUGCGUAGUUUACCUUAAGGUGGAACCAAAAUUCAAUUGCAGUGGUGUAUUCUGGGGUCCGAGGUCUUAAACCCUACUCUGCUCCCUUAUCAGGAUUCAGGCUCAGGGAAUGAAUAAACCCGGGACAGCUAGGAGAAGGGAGGAGGUGCGCUCCUGUCGCCGGCUAGUAGGCCUGAAGAUAAAUCACUCUAUUCAGCAAGAUUUGGGUGGCAGAUGCUAUUUACCUUUGUUCUGUCUCUUUGAAGCAGCGCAGGGAUUUUCCAGAGAAAUCUUGACAGAUGAAUGUUUAUCCUCCAGGUUUUUUGGUGAUCAGAGGUCAAACUAUUCUCAGCCUGUUUUUAAUAUAAACAAUUCUCUGGGAUAAUUUUGACUGUGAAACGGCCACCUCUAACAGAAAGUCCAUUUUAAACAUUGUUUUGUUGUUUUUGUUUUGUUUUGACUGUGCUGAAUAAAAUGUUUCUUUUAUUCUAAAAUGUUUUCUCAGCUGAAAUUUUCAAGUCUGUUUCUGUCCGUAAGUGAUUUGACUUUCUAUGUAUUAGAUGGUAAUGAGGAAAUUGCAGGUUUUCCAGUCUACAUCUAUUUUUAAAAUUCUGAGCAUAAAGAAUAUUUUAUUAUA